AGUCACUGACAUUAGAUACCCGCGUAGUCCAGGGUGUAAACGCUGCAGACUUGGUGUUGGAAGUCUUUGGGGGCAUUCAGUGCCGGAGAGAAGUUGUUAAGUCUGCUACUUGGGGAGUACGUCCGCAAGGAUGAAACUUAAAGGAAUUGGCGGGGGAGCACCACAACGGGUGGAGCCUGCGGUUUAAUUGGACUCAACGCCGGAAAUCUCACCGGAUAGGACAGACAUAUGAUAGUCGGGCUGAAGACUCUACUUGAUGAUCUG
RNAcentral lists this ribosomal RNA (264 nucleotides) under uncultured archaeon. Its description in RNAcentral is "partial 16S ribosomal RNA". It matches the Rfam family "Archaeal small subunit ribosomal RNA", at positions 716 to 982 of the family's 1478-position model. The record is from RNAcentral.